AGGCCGGGGUUGCCAAGCAACCGGUAAACGCCGCCGUUUGAGGAGCACCGGAGCCGCGACCGUGGAUUGAACGCUUCCCCAGAGACCCAGAAGCAGAAGGAGCGGACCCAGGCAGCCGGCACCAUGGAGAUUGUGUACGUGUACGUCAAGAAGCGCAGCGAGUUCGGGAAGCAGUGCAAUUUCUCGGACCGCCAGGCCGAGCUGAACAUCGACAUCAUGCCCAACCCUGAGCUGGCCGAGCAGUUCGUGGAGCGGAACCCAGUGGACACGGGCAUCCAGUGCUCGAUCAGCAUGUCGGAACACGAGGCCAACUCAGAGCGGUUUGAGAUGGAGACCCGGGGAGUUAACCAUGUCGAGGGGGGCUGGCCCAAGGACGUGAACCCCCUGGAGCUGGAGCAGACCAUCCGUUUCCGGAAGAAAGUGGAGAAAGAUGAGAACUACGUUAACGCCAUCAUGCAGCUCGGCUCUAUCAUGGAGCACUGCAUCAAGCAGAACAAUGCCAUUGACAUCUAUGAAGAGUAUUUCAAUGACGAGGAGGCCAUGGAAGUGAUGGAGGAGGACCCUUCAGCUAAAACCAUCAAUGUGUUCAGGGACCCCCAGGAAAUCAAGAGGGCUGCCACACACCUCUCCUGGCACCCCGAUGGCAACAGGAAGUUGGCAGUGGCAUACUCCUGCUUGGAUUUUCAGCGGGCACCUGUGGGCAUGAGCAGCGAUUCAUACAUCUGGGACCUGGAAAACCCCAACAAGCCUGAACUUGCUCUGAAGCCAUCGUCUCCACUCGUGACGUUGGAGUUCAACCCCAAAGAUUCCCACGUACUCCUGGGUGGCUGCUACAAUGGACAGAUAGCCUGCUGGGACACCCGAAAGGGCAGCCUGGUGGCGGAGCUAUCCACCAUUGAGUCCAGCCACCGAGACCCUGUGUAUGGCACCAUCUGGCUGCAGUCGAAGACGGGCACCGAGUGCUUCUCAGCUUCCACGGAUGGGCAGGUCAUGUGGUGGGACAUCCGAAAGAUGAGCGAGCCCACUGAAGUUGUGAUCUUGGACAUCACCAAGAAGGAACAGUUGGAAAAUGCCUUGGGGGCCAUCUCCCUGGAGUUCGAAUCUACUUUGCCCACCAAGUUCAUGGUGGGGACCGAGCAGGGCAUCGUCAUCUCCUGCAACCGCAAGGCCAAGACGUCAGCUGAAAAGAUUGUGUGCACCUUCCCGGGCCAUCAUGGCCCCAUCUACGCCCUCCAGAGAAACCCCUUCUACCCGAAGAACUUCCUGACGGUUGGCGACUGGACAGCCCGCAUUUGGUCUGAAGACAGCCGGGAAUCGUCCAUCAUGUGGACCAAGUACCACAUGGCUUACCUCACUGAUGCUGCCUGGAGCCCCGUGAGGCCGACCGUUUUCUUUACCACCAGGAUGGACGGAACCCUGGAUAUCUGGGACUUCAUGUUCGAGCAGUGCGAUCCCACCCUCAGCUUGAAGGUGUGUGACGAGGCCCUCUUCUGCCUCCGGGUGCAGGACAAUGGGUGUCUCAUCGCCUGCGGCUCCCAGCUGGGGACAACCACCCUGCUGGAGGUCUCGCCUGGGCUCUCUACCCUCCAGAGGAAUGAGAAGAACGUAGCCUCUUCCAUGUUUGAGCGUGAGACCCGGCGAGAGAAGAUCCUGGAGGCCAGGCACCGGGAGAUGCGGCUGAAGGAGAAGGGUAAGGCGGAGGGCAGGGAUGAGGAGCAGACCGAUGAGGAGCUGGCCGUAGACCUGGAGGCGCUGGUCAGCAAGGCCGAGGAGGAGUUCUUCGACAUCAUCUUCGCAGAGCUGAAGAAGAAGGAGGCAGACGCCAUAAAGCUGACGCCAGUGCCUGCCCUCUUUUGUACCAGCGGAGAGAGGAAGAAAAGACAUUGCCUGUCUGGGUCACCUCCUUCAGGCCCCACAGAUAAGAUGCCAAGAUAUGAAAGAGCCAAAGAGCAGCGUGGAAGGGAAAAGAAACAGCGGGUAUAUGCCAGGAUUUACCCUUGUAGGCAAGACUGGCUGCAGACUUGGGGAUUGCAGGCACUGCAAAAUGAAAAUGUGAGGGCCCUCGUUUAAAAAGUAUUAAUAAUUUUAAAACAGUGACAAUAGAGCGUUAAACCAAGCGUGGGCCCUGCUGAGACAGGGUCCAGUGUAUCUGCACAGAGCACCCACCCAUGACGCCUGCUUGAAGAAGAGCUGUAUGGCAAGUUCUUGGUCCCUGAUAGAGUGGACAGAGCGAAGGAUGGUGCAUGAGCACACAGGGAAGAUAACUGGUUCCAUCUUGUGAUUUCUUCCCUCUUCUGCCUCCCUCCCCCUGGGUCUAAAGCUGUGAUUUCCACAGGUGCAUUUUGCAUUUGGGGGUACUUGGUUAUGAGAUGUUUUCUUCUCACACUGGGUAAUACAGGUGGGGCAGAGAGCUCCCUCCACUUCUGGUGGAGGCAAAACUAGAAUCCUGGAUUCUGACGCCUAAUCCAGGGCUCCUCCCACUCACCACUCCUGGCCUAUCCAGCCCUGCAGAAGGCAAAGAUGACACUGGCCACCUUUUACAACGCAAUGGUGGCUGCAGCAACCAAGUCCAGAAGAAGACCAGGUGGUGGAGGAGGGAGAGGAAGCAGCGGGGGAAGAAGGGGAUGAAGAAGUGGAAGAAGA
Molecule: RNA transcript, 2643 nt
Organism: Homo sapiens (human)
Lineage: Eukaryota; Metazoa; Chordata; Mammalia; Primates; Hominidae
Gene: DNAI2
Gene name: dynein axonemal intermediate chain 2
Exons: 14
Source: RefSeq, marked reviewed